GAGAGGCCUGGGAGGAAAUCUGCCCAGCCUUGAGCCUUAGGGAGAAAAAUCAAGGGACCUGCACCAUGGCCUGGAUCCCUCUCCUCCUCGGAUUCCUGGCUCACUGGGCAGGAUCCGUGGCCUCCUAUGUGCUGACUCAGCCUCCAUCGAUGUCAGUGAACCUGGGACAGACGGUCAGGAUGACCUGUGGGGGAAACAACAUUGGAAGAAAAAAUGUUCAGUGGUACCAGCAGAAGCCGGGUCUGGCCCCUGUGCUGAUUAUCUAUGGUGAUAGCUACCGGCCCUCAGGGAUCCCUGAACGGUUCUCAGGCACCAAAUCGGGGAACACGGCCACCCUGACCAUCAGCGGGGUCCGGGCCGAGGACGAGGCUGAGUAUUACUGUCAGGUAUGGGACAGCAAUGCUGAUGCUCACAGUGACACAGACAGAUGGGGAAGUGAGGCACAAACCCCUUCCCCAUCUGUGUGGCAUGCUCCUCCAGUCUCAGGAGACCUGCGCACAGAGCAGGGAGCACUUCUGGUCCAGAUCCCCUCAUCUGAGAUCCCCAUACCUCCCUCCCCAUCCAGCUCUCCAGGCAGCUCUGCAGAGGGGCGUCAGGAGAGCAUUUACAGCUGA
Lontra canadensis (Northern American river otter) is the source of this 614-nucleotide non-coding RNA. The record is from the annotation of a RefSeq genome assembly. NCBI's taxonomy places the organism in Eukaryota, Metazoa, Chordata, Mammalia, Carnivora, Mustelidae.